GGUGAGAUUCCCGAGCGGCCAAAGGGAGCAGACUGUAAAUCUGACGUCAUUCGACUUCGAAGGUUCGAAUCCUUCUCUCACCA
Molecule: transfer RNA, 83 nt
Filed under: Buchnera aphidicola (Periphyllus lyropictus)
Lineage: Bacteria; Pseudomonadati; Pseudomonadota; Gammaproteobacteria; Enterobacterales; Erwiniaceae
Description: tRNA-Tyr
Rfam family: tRNA
About the family: Transfer RNA (tRNA) molecules are approximately 80 nucleotides in length. Their secondary structure includes four short double-helical elements and three loops (D, anti-codon, and T loops).
Source: RNAcentral